This 397-nucleotide ribosomal RNA is filed under the name uncultured Pseudoflavonifractor sp. Its description in RNAcentral is "bacterial SSU rRNA". It matches the Rfam family "Bacterial small subunit ribosomal RNA", at positions 355 to 763 of the family's 1533-position model. Lineage: Bacteria; Bacillati; Bacillota; Clostridia; Eubacteriales; Oscillospiraceae. The record is from RNAcentral.
GGGGGAAUAUUGGGGCAAAUGGGGCGCAAGCCUGACCCAGCAACGCCGCGUGAAGGAAGAAGGCUCUCGGGUUGUAAACUUCUUUUGUCAGGGACGAAACAAAUGACGGUACCUGACGAAUAAGCCACGGCUAACUACGUGCCAGCAGCCGCGGUAAUACGUAGGUGGCAAGCGUUAUCCGGAUUUACUGGGUGUAAAGGGCGUGUAGGCGGGAAGGCAAGUCAGACGUGAAAACCACGGGCUCAACCUGUGGCCUGCGUUUGAAACUGUUUUUCUUGAGUGAUGGAGAGGCAGGCGGAAUUCCGUGUGUAGCGGUGAAAUGCGUAGAUAUACGGAGGAACACCAGUGGCGAAGGCGGCCUGCUGGACAUUAACUGACGCUGAGGCGCGAAAGCGUG